This 496-nucleotide ribosomal RNA is filed under the name uncultured bacterium. RNAcentral describes it as "bacterial SSU rRNA". It matches the Rfam family "Bacterial small subunit ribosomal RNA", at positions 9 to 501 of the family's 1533-position model. The record is from RNAcentral.
GAGUUUGAUCAUGGCUCAGAUUGAACGCUGGCGGCAUGCUUUACACAUGCAAGUCGAACGGUAACAGGGAGCUUGCUCCGCUGACGAGUGGCGAACGGGUGAGUAAUGCGUCGGAACGUGCCGAGUAGUGGGGGAUAACGCAUCGAAAGGUGUGCUAAUACCGCAUACGAACUGAGGUUGAAAGUGGGGGACCUUCGGGCCUCACGCUAUUCGAGCGGCCGACGUCUGAUUAGCUAGUAGGUGAGGUAAAGGCUCACCUAGGCGACGAUCAGUAGCGGGUCUGAGAGGAUGAUCCGCCACACUGGGACUGAGACACGGCCCAGACUCCUACGGGAGGCAGCAGUGGGGAAUUUUGGACAAUGGGCGCAAGCCUGAUCCAGCCAUGCCGCGUGUCUGAAGAAGGCUUCGGGUUGUAAAGGACUUUUGUCUGGGAGCAAAUACCCGGUGUUAAUAGCGCCGGGGGCUGAGAGUACCAGAAGAAUAAGCACCGGCUAAC